RNAcentral lists this ribosomal RNA (407 nucleotides) under uncultured bacterium. RNAcentral describes it as "partial 16S ribosomal RNA". It matches the Rfam family "Bacterial small subunit ribosomal RNA", at positions 30 to 526 of the family's 1533-position model. The record is from RNAcentral.
AUUGAACGCUGGCGGCAGGCCUAACACAUGCAAGUCGAGCGGAGCGCCGGUGGGGGGAGUAAUGCCUAGGAAUCUGCCUGGGAGUGGGGGAUAACGAUCAGAAACGGGCGCUAUAACCGCAUACUAUCAGAUGAGCCUAGGUCGGAUUAGCUAGUGGGUGGGGUAAAGGCCUACCAAGGCGACGAUCCGUAACUGGUCUGAGAGGAUGAGCAGUCACACUGGAACUGAGACACGGUCCAGACUCCUACGGGAGGCAGCAGUGGGGAAUAUUGGACAAUGGGCGAAAGCCUGAUGCAGCCAUGCCGCGGGUGUGAAGAAGGUCUUCGGAUUGUAAAGCACUUUAAGUUGGGAGGCGUUACCAGCAGAAUAAGCACCGGCUAACUACGUGCCAGCAGCCGCGGUAAUUC